UGUCUAUACUAAUGGGUGUUGCCCAGAUGAACCUGGGGAUUGUAUUGAGUUAUUUUGAUGCACGAUAUCAUGGAAAUGCUCUUGACAUAAGGUAUCAAUUCAUACCACAGAUGAUUUUCCUCAAUAGCCUUUUUGGUUACUUAGCACUCCUGAUUCUUAUCAAGUGGUGCACGGGCUCUCAAGCUGAUCUUUAUCAUGUGAUGAUAUAUAUGUUCCUUGAUCCUGCUGGAGAUCUUGGAGAAAAUCAACUGUUCUGGGGCCAAAAGGAACUUCAGAUAUUGUUGUUACUUCUGGCUUUGAUCGCUGUUCCAUGGAUGCUCUUCCCAAAACCUUUUAUCUUGAAGAAACUUCAUAAGGAGGUAAUGAUUU
RNA transcript from Zea mays, 369 nucleotides. It is a transcript of the gene named V-type proton ATPase subunit pseudogene, with no coding region annotated. The transcript has 3 exons. The record is from RefSeq and is marked validated. NCBI's taxonomy places the organism in Eukaryota, Viridiplantae, Streptophyta, Magnoliopsida, Poales, Poaceae.